Molecule: ribosomal RNA, 301 nt
Filed under: uncultured bacterium
Lineage: Bacteria
Description: partial 16S ribosomal RNA
Rfam family: Bacterial small subunit ribosomal RNA
Source: RNAcentral
CAGCAGCCGCGGUAAUACGGAGGGAGCUAGCGUUGUUCGGAAUUACUGGGCGUAAAGCGCGCGUAGGCGGUUACUCAAGUCAGAGGUGAAAGCCCGGGGCUCAACCCCGGAACUGCCUUUGAAACUAGGUGACUAGAAUCUUGGAGAGGUCAGUGGAAUUCCGAGUGUAGAGGUGAAAUUCGUAGAUAUUCGGAAGAACACCAGUGGCGAAGGCGACUGACUGGACAAGUAUUGACGCUGAGGUGCGAAAGCGUGGGGAGCAAACAGGAUUAGAUACCCGCGUAGUCCCUUUCUCUUAUAC